RNAcentral lists this ribosomal RNA (936 nucleotides) under Lactobacillus sp. RNAcentral's name for it is "bacterial SSU rRNA". It matches the Rfam family "Bacterial small subunit ribosomal RNA", at positions 50 to 958 of the family's 1533-position model. The record is from RNAcentral. Lineage: Bacteria; Bacillati; Bacillota; Bacilli; Lactobacillales; Lactobacillaceae.
UAUACUGCAGUCGAACGAAACUUUCUUACACCGAAUGCUUGCAUUCAUCGUAAGAAGUUGAGUGGCGGACGGGUGAGUAACACGUGGGUAACCUGCCUAAAAGAAGGGGAUAACACUUGGAAACAGGUGCUAAUACCGUAUAUCUCUAAGGAUCGCAUGAUCCUUAGAUGAAAGAUGGUUCUGCUAUCGCUUUUAGAUGGACCCGCGGCGUAUUAACUAGUUGGUGGGGUAACGGCCUACCAAGGUGAUGAUACGUAGCCGAACUGAGAGGUUGAUCGGCCACAUUGGGACUGAGACACGGCCCAAACUCCUACGGGAGGCAGCAGUAGGGAAUCUUCCACAAUGGACGCAAGUCUGAUGGAGCAACGCCGCGUGAGUGAAGAAGGUCUUCGGAUCGUAAAACUCUGUUGUUAGAGAAGAACACGAGUGAGAGUAACUGUUCAUUCGAUGACGGUAUCUAACCAGCAAGUCACGGCUAACUACGUGCCAGCAGCCGCGGUAAUACGUAGGUGGCAAGCGUUGUCCGGAUUUAUUGGGCGUAAAGGGAACGCAGGCGGUCUUUUAAGUCUGAUGUGAAAGCCUUCGGCUUAACCGGAGUAGUGCAUUGGAAACUGGAAGACUUGAGUGCAGAAGAGGAGAGUGGAACUCCAUGUGUAGCGGUGAAAUGCGUAGAUAUAUGGAAGAACACCAGUGGCGAAAGCGGCUCUCUGGUCUGUAACUGACGCUGAGGUUCGAAAGCGUGGGUAGCAAACAGGAUUAGAUACCCUGGUAGUCCACGCCGUAAACGAUGAAUGCUAGGUGUUGGAGGGUUUCCGCCCUUCAGUGCCGCAGCUAACGCAAUAAGCAUUCCGCCUGGGGAGUACGACCGCAAGUUGAAACUCAAAGGAAUUGACGGGGGCCCGCACAAGCGGUGGAGCAUGUGGUUAAUUCGAAGCA